Bactrocera dorsalis (oriental fruit fly) is the source of this 1240-nucleotide long non-coding RNA. RefSeq lists it as uncharacterized. Lineage: Eukaryota; Metazoa; Arthropoda; Insecta; Diptera; Tephritidae. The transcript has 2 exons. The record is from RefSeq and is a predicted model, not a curated record.
GAAUUUCCUUCAAUUCAAUUAUCAUAACCUAUUACAUUUAAAAAAAACCAUAAGUAAUGAAUUUCGUACAUGUAGGACAAUAAUAAAAAUGGUCAAAUAGUUAUCAACAAGUUUGACUAUUGUGAAUGGUAUUUACAUGGCAAUUGUCAAAAUCAAUUGUUUGACAGCAGCCACUUGAAAUAACGAAGCGCAAAAUAUUUAGUUUUUUGGCUUUGUUAUAUAGAUUAUGGAAUAAAGAAAACGCAUUGAAGAAUAAUAACUAAGGUAAAUAAACAUAUAAUCAGAUAACAAACGCGUAUUAAUAUUAUAUUGUUUGCAGGGAUCUAAAGUCAAUAGAGGUUAUUAGUAUGUUGCUGAAAUUUGAGAACCCAUGUGCUGCUGUAAUGGAUUCUACUAAUGUGCAAGUGGUUUCAUUUGACGACGAACAAAUAAUUGCUGUUGGCCGGGCUCUCAGAGCUGUAGCGGACGAAGUUUUCGAAGAACCCAAACAGGAACUCGUUUUAUAGGAAUCUGCGAUGUCUGCUAUUUUAUGCAACAAUCUCAGAAAUAUAAGGCUGCUGUUAAAUAAGGACGUCAUAGCGUCAAUAAACGUGGAUGGUUCACAUGGAAAGAUAAGCUUAAAAUCUUUCCCAAAUUUUUAUGCUUCAUUGACUGGAGCCAUUGCCAAAUUACCAUUUAAGGGAUUGUCGCCGGAGGACGCGCUGCGCAAAGCCAUUGCUUUCGAAAAAGCUAAAUGCUUUAAGAAAGCUUUUGUUCACGCGUUAUAUGAAAGCAAGAAAUCAACGCGAACUUUUUGAGUGGAGUACAAAACUGCGUAAACGAUUUUUUUUAAGAUACAUUUUUUUAAAUUUUGAUGAUAAUUUCUUUCAUGAGUUUUGCAAAAAUUUUGAUUUGUCAGAUUUAUGUUAGAGAAGCUGUAUUUAAAGUGUUUAAAGUCAAUUAAAUAAAAAUACAUAUUUUAAAACGAAGGCUUCGGAUAAAAUUUAUCUUGAUUGUUAAAGGGAUUUUAGAGGUUUUAUAACGACUGGUCUCAUUCUGCUACCAUUGCGACCUACAAAGCGACUAGUCCCUUUUUAUACCCAUUUGGGUAUAAAUGGGUACAAUUAGUCUCUUCAUAGGACAUGCUCGAACAAAAGGGAACAGUUCAGUCCAUACAAAGAGAUGUAAAGUGGGAUUAGUCGCAUGUUCCUUUGCGACUAAUCCCGGACACAUCCCGGACUAGUCGCAUUUUUUGCAGGGU